CUGUUUGUUGGGAAGCAGAGCUGCAGCGAGGUGUGUCAGGGCACUCACCUUUCUCUGUAACAAACACAGGGCAGCAAGGUGAGGCCAGGGAACCCCCACCUGCCCUGUGCAAACACAGCCGCAAGGGAGAGCCGGGUGGCUGCUGCCACCGCCGCUCCUUUUCAGCCCCGUGUUCAGUUUCUCCAGAGGAGGACGGAAGGAAGCAACAAAUGGGAAGGAAACGGGCCUGCUUGUGAAAUCCAAAACCGGAUCGGCCAACCACAGAGGCAGACUCUCAUCAGGAUAUUUAUGAACACAAGCACAAAUGGGAGGCUGAGGGGAGGCAAAAAAAAAAAAAAAAAAAGAAACAAAAACACCAACAACCACCCAACCCUAUUUCUCAUUCUCUUUCUUCAAAGAGCAGAUGUGCUGUGGCCUGCAAACCGAGAAGGACACUCCCUUGCUGUUAGCUAAUUUAGGCUGACAUGUUAGGGUUUUGUGGUUCGAAACAAGAAGUUUAGUAAUCAGCCACUAACAUUAACCAACACCUCUCACACAACCGCCCGCACUGGGCUCGAGCAUCUUUAUACGUAAUGGGAAGAAGAAAAAAAAAUUUUUUUUUUUUCCUUUUGCAUAAGACAGUGCUGCAGUACUGCUGGCAAGUCCCUGGCCACAGGAGCUGAUCCAGCAGCCUGCUCUCAUGGAUGCCCAAAGAACAGCAGUGGCAAGGAAAAGGCUGUCACAUCACCCUAGUGCUUGCCAAAUGCGUGGUACCCCCACAGAUUCAAAGGAAUAAGUCUUUCUAGCAGGUUUAUAUAAUUUAUAUAAUUUUAAGGGGUCUGGUCUCUCCUUCUAAGCCACUUUCCUGCUUAUUUUCUCUAUUUCUGGCCGUGGUUCAGCAGCUUAUCAGAAGGUGGGCUAGUUCCUCAUUGAAGAUUCAAAUGUGCUUCUCUGCCAAAUUGACCUGCUGUUAUCCCCCCUUUCAACUACUGAAACCAACACCGCACAAACAAUGAAUUAUGAGAUUAGAGUUACAGAAAAAUGGCCUCAUUCUGCAGAUGUUGUGUCUGGAACCGGCUGCUGCGGACUCGUGUUUGUUGUGUCAUCUUCUUCGCUUCCCUCCCCUCCUCCUCCUCUUCACAGUCCCACCUUCACCAGGUGAUGGUGGGCACCAGGGACCAUGUUAUGCAAAGGGUUAAUUAGCAUCUUCCAACUCUAAUACACCUCCCCCAAAAAAGGAGGAAAAAGAGGGGAAAUGGGUGAGAGAGAAAAACAUCAUCGAUAAGAGGAUAGCCAUCGUACAGGCAGACAAGCAAAUAAUUGAACUGAAAUUUAAAAUGCUGUAGCAGAAUUCUUUU
Molecule: long non-coding RNA, 1337 nt
Filed under: Junco hyemalis (dark-eyed junco)
Lineage: Eukaryota; Metazoa; Chordata; Aves; Passeriformes; Passerellidae
Description: lncRNA (ENSJHYG00000016314.1)
Source: RNAcentral